This 118-nucleotide ribosomal RNA is filed under the name Brycon brevicauda. The record is from RNAcentral. Lineage: Eukaryota; Metazoa; Chordata; Actinopteri; Characiformes; Bryconidae.
UACGCCCGAUCUCGUCCGAUCUCGGAAGCUAUACAGGGUCGGGCCUGAUUAGUACUUGAAUGGGAGACUUCCUGGAAUACCAGGUGCUGUAGGCUUUGCUUACGGCCAUACCAGCCUG